GACGAACGCUGGCGGCGUGCUUAACACAUGCAAGUCGAACGGAAAGGCCCUGCUUGCAGGGUACUCGAGUGGCGAACGGGUGAGUAACACGUGGGUGAUCUGCCCUGCACUUCGGGAUAAGCCUGGGAAACUGGGUCUAAUACCGGAUAGGAGCCAUUUUUAGUGUGAUGGUUGGAAAGUUUUUUCGGUGUAGGAUGAGCUCGCGGCCUAUCAGCUUGUUGGUGGGGUAAUGGCCUACCAAGGCGGCGACGGGUAGCCGGCCUGAGAGGGUGGACGGCCACAUUGGGACUGAGAUACGGCCCAGACUCCUACGGGAGGCAGAAGUGGGGAAUAUUGAACAAUGGGCGCAAGCCUGAGGAAGCGAGGCCGCGUGGGGAUGACGGCCUUCGGGUUGUAAACUCCUUUCGCUAGGGACGAAGCUUUUUGUGACGGUACCUAGAUAAGAAGCACCGGCUAACUACGUG
This 464-nucleotide ribosomal RNA is filed under the name uncultured bacterium. Its description in RNAcentral is "partial 16S ribosomal RNA". It matches the Rfam family "Bacterial small subunit ribosomal RNA", at positions 28 to 507 of the family's 1533-position model. The record is from RNAcentral.